This 73-nucleotide transfer RNA is filed under the name Bos taurus (domestic cattle). It matches the Rfam family "tRNA". Rfam says of the family: Transfer RNA (tRNA) molecules are approximately 80 nucleotides in length. Their secondary structure includes four short double-helical elements and three loops (D, anti-codon, and T loops). Lineage: Eukaryota; Metazoa; Chordata; Mammalia; Artiodactyla; Bovidae. The record is from Rfam by way of RNAcentral. RNAcentral also lists the same sequence under 5 other names.
UCCCUGGUGGCUUCAGAUGGUAAAGAAUCAGCCUGCAAUGCAGAAGGCCCAGGUUUGAUCCCUGGCUUGGGAA